GGUGUCUUCGGACGCCGGCAUACGGCUCAGUAACACGUAGGUAACCUACCCUCAGGACUGAGAUAACCCCGGGAAACUGGGGCUAAUAUUAGAUAGAUAAAAGAUACUGGAAUGUUCUUUUAUCCGAAGCUUUUGCGCCUGAGGAUGGGCCUGCGUCCGAUUAGGUUGUUGGUGGGGUAAUGGCCCACCAAGCCUGCGAUCGGUACGGGCAGUGGGAGCUGAAGCCCGGAGUUGGGGACUGAGACAAGGCCCCAGGCCCUACGGGGCGCAGCAGGCGCGAAACCUCUGCAAUGCGGGAAACCGUGACAGGGGGAUCCCAAGUGCUCAUGCAUUGCAUGGGCUGUUCUUUGGUCUAAGUAACCAGAGGAGUAAGGGCUGGGCAAGACCGGUGCCAGCCGCCGCGGUAAUACCGGCAGCUCAAGUGGUAGCCGCGAUUAUUGGGCCUAAAACGUUCGUAGCCGGAUAAGUAAGUCUUUGGUUAAAUCCUGCGACUCAACCGUGGGAAUUCUAGAGAUACUGCUUGUCUUGAGACCGGGAGAGGUUGGAGGUACUCCUAGGGUAGGGGUGAAAUCCUGUAAUCCUAGGGGGACCACCUGUGGCGAA
This 603-nucleotide ribosomal RNA is filed under the name uncultured archaeon. RNAcentral's name for it is "bacterial SSU rRNA". It matches the Rfam family "Archaeal small subunit ribosomal RNA", at positions 62 to 670 of the family's 1478-position model. The record is from RNAcentral.